Molecule: ribosomal RNA, 440 nt
Filed under: uncultured bacterium
Lineage: Bacteria
Description: bacterial SSU rRNA
Rfam family: Bacterial small subunit ribosomal RNA
Source: RNAcentral
CCUACGGGAUGCAGCAGUGGGGAAUAUUGCACAAUGGGCGCAAGCCUGAUGCAGCCAUGCCGCGUGUAUGAAGAAGGUCUUCGGAUUGUAAAGCACUUUCGACGGGGACGAUGGUGACGGUACCCGUAGAAGAAGCCCCGGCUAACUUCGUGCCAGCAGCCGCGGUAAUACGAAGGGGGCUAGCGUUGCUCGGAAUGACUGGGCGUAAAGGGCGCGUAGGCGGUUUAUGCAGUCAGAUGUGAAAUCCCCGGGCCUAACCUGGGAACUGCAUUUGAGACGCAUAGACUAGAGGUCGAGAGAGGGUUGUGGAAUUCCCAGUGUAGAGGUGAAAUUCGUAGAUAUUGGGAAGAACACCGGUGGCGAAGGCGGCAACCUGGCUCGAUACUGACGCUGAGGCGCGAAAGCGUGGGGAGCAAACAGGAUUAGAUACCCGCGUAGUC